Molecule: ribosomal RNA, 427 nt
Filed under: uncultured bacterium
Lineage: Bacteria
Description: partial 16S ribosomal RNA
Rfam family: Bacterial small subunit ribosomal RNA
Source: RNAcentral
GUGAGGAAUCUUCCACAAUGGGCGAAAGCCUGAUGGAGCAACGCCGCGUGAAGGAUGAAGGUCUUCGGAUUGUAAACUUCUUUUAUGAGUGAAGAAUAUGACGGUAACUCAUGAAUAAGCACCGGCUAACUACGUGCCAGCAGCCGCGGUCAUACGUAGGGUGCAAGCAUUAUCCGGAGUGACUGGGCGUAAAGAGUUGCGUAGGCGGUUAUGUAAGCGAAUAGUGAAACCUGGUGGCUCAACCACACAGACUAUUAUUCGAACUGCAUAACUCGAGAAUGGUAGAGGUAACUGGAAUUUCUUGUGUAGGAGUGAAAUCCGUAGAUAUAAGAAGGAAUACCAAUGGCGUAGGCAGGUUACUGGGCCAUUUCUGACGCUAAGGCACGAAAGCGUGGGGAGCGAACCGGAUUAGAAACCCGUGUAGUCC